AAUUGUUAAAACCCGCUGCGGGUGGGUUUUUGUAAAAAAAUUAAAACCCGCUGCGGGUUGCGGGUGGGUUUGGUAAUUUAAAUUUUGUGCGGGUUUGGGUUUGGUAAUGGCAAACCCGCUGCGGGCGGUGCCCAUUGCCAUCCCUAGAAGUGAUAACGACAUUUCAGCAAAGUAAUUCAACAAAGUACGCCUAAUUAGAUUAAUUGAACCGGUUUAUUUUGUGGGCUCGAUUGCUUGGCCCACAAAAACCCAUUUGACAAAACUCUGGUCUAUGUGGGCCGGGAGCUCAAUUUCCAAGUCAGCUCAUAUGAGAUUGUACAUUCAAUAAACUCUGAUGUUACUUUUAUUUAUUUAAUUAUUUCUUUUUUCCAAAAAAUAAAAAAUACAUCUUUCAUUACAUCCUAACAGAUUAUCAUAAAAAUUAAAAUUUCAAAAUUUAAUGGUGAGUUUAAAUAAUUAUACUAUUUUGAAAAAUAAAAAUAUACAAAUUAAAUUUUUUAGGUGCGAAUAACCCUAUCCUUUAUGAAAAUAGCCUACCUACUAAUUUUUCCUUACUUUGAUAGCAGAAAAAUAAGCAAUUAAGCAUCCUAAUUUCUAAACAUAACUGCAUAUAAGUAAUCUAUCACUUAAAGAUAAUGACGGAAAAUAAUUCAGCACUCAAUUCGUAAGUGAGUCAAAAGGAGAGGAAAGUGACUUGUUGCCAAUUUUUUUUUCGUUCUUAGGUAGGUAAUACGUCGGCAAUUGUUGGGUCGAUACGCAGAAUGUUGCGAAAUUACCCGACAGUAAACUUAAUUGGUGCUAACCUGACGACAAGUGUGUUAGGCUCUAGAAGCAAAAGUAGGUAGCCAUAUUACGCACUCGAUAUACAUUGAAUAGAUUCAAUGUACAAUCUUUGAAACUUGUUGCCACAAAAUCUUUCUCAAAGCUUCUUAAAAUUUAUAAAGCUUGCCUCUUUGAUCGAAACACUUUGACACGUGCAUGCUAGUUCUAUUUUGCUUCAUGUAAUCUUCGUAUUUUAUUUGAUUUGGGUUGCCAUCUACAAACCGGUGGGGUUUGUUAGGCGUUUAAUUUGUUGUCGUUUUUGGGAGAUGUUCUAGGAGAGGUGCUGUUAACCAAGAUAAUUUAUUAGAUUUGGGUUGCCAAUUUCGUGUGGACUCUCUCUCUUUUUUUUUUAAUAAAUUUUUGUCUCUUUUAAGUGUAUAUACAAUCUUUGUUAAAAAGGAAAGAAAAUGAGUGUAUAUUUGAUUUCCAGCAUCUGUAAAAAAUUAUUUUACAACACUAACCAAAGGUCUAUCCUUGUUAUUAUUCAAGGAAAUUAAUUAUUGAAGAAAAGAGAUUUUGAAAACAAGUUUUUGUUUCGAACAAAAAUAUUAGGAAUGUAGUAAAAGUUUUUACUAAUGUUCUAAAAGUUUUUUUUAAAUAUGAUCUCUAUUAGCCUAUUUUUGUUGAUAAUGUGUUGUUGAAAAAAGUUUUGGGCAUGAGUAAGGAGUUUUAAAGUGUUUUUGUCGGCAUGAUUUUAGAAUCAGUUUGAUAAGCUUUCAAAAGUUAAUUUUUACCAGGGCAACUGUUUAUUUCAAAAAUUUAUUGGGAUUUUCGAUGGUUAACUCGAAUGGGAAUUACAUAAGUUUAUAUUGUUGGUCUAACAAGCCAAGUAAAAGUCAUCCACUCCUCUUUAAAAUAACUCUUUUCUCUUUCGUGGUAUCAUAGUACAUCUUUGUUUUUGUUUGAAAUAUAUUUUAUAUAAGUAGUUAUGAGACAAAUUUUGUUUAGUUCAUGACAUAUUUUCGUAAUUGAUAAAUUUGAUGAUAAUCUUAAUAGUUUUUAUAAAGAUCCAUAUGUUGUUUUAGAAAAAGAUUAUGAUCUUGGAUACAAAAUAAUCCUUGUAUAAAAAUAUUAGAACAUACUUUUAUCGUAGAAUUUGAAUUAGCAAAUAUUAAUACAAAACAUUCAAUUUUAGAAUUAUAUGUAUUAAUAAAUAGAGUUGAAAGAUUAAAUUUAAAUAGCCCAAUUUUAGUACCUAAAAAAGUAGACAUAAAAGAUAUUUUAAGACCUAAAAUAAUAUUAAAAGGUAAUGAAACUAAUAAGAAAUAGCCGUAUAGAUGUUAUUAUAGCAGAAAAAUAGAAAAUCAGUGUCAUCUUUAAGUAAAGGUAAAGAAAUUAUGGAAAAGACAAAAUAUAUGAUAGAUGAAGAAGAACCAAGUAGAUUAUUAAAAAAAGGUUUUAACCAAACCGAUUUAUUUCUUCAUUACAUUUCUCUCACUCUAUCUUUAAUUGAUUACCAAAAUUUUAUUAAGACACGUGUCUUAAUUAACCUUAUUCAAUUAUUGCAUCUCUAAUGAUAAUUUCCUAAUUGCAAUUUAGCUACUAUAUAAAUAAUGACAUCAAUCCUUAUCCUUAAUAUCGCAAUUCCGCUGACCCCAAGGUACUUACUUAGACGCAUACGUAGAUAAUUGCGAGAGAUACGCAGUCGAUGUUAUAUGAUAACAACAACGGUAUAUCGCCUGAUAUCUUACUCUCCAAUAAUAUCUCCACACGUGUCAUAAGAUUGGACCUAAUUGUCUUGAUAAUGACUUUGUUAUCUUAUCUACUAGACCUUGUUAGCUCGAAACUCUGUUUCACGUGAUCUUAAUAAUUUAACCACCAUCUUUUCAUAAUUUUUAGUGAAUCAUUUUGUUGAAAUAGAUUCUCUCACUUUACAAUCAUCCUACAAAAUAUCUUCGUUACAACUGCCAUGUGUCACAACCUUAAGCCAAUGCUAAAAAAUAUCUUCGUCCUUGCAUAAUAUUUUAAUCGCGAGAAUUAUAAAGUACAUGCUGACCAAAAAUUUGACACGUGUCCUUGACAGGUAGGCCACUUUCCUUUCUCUGUACUUUUCUUUUCUGUUUUCACUUGAUUUGUUUUCAAUUAAGUAAAGUACUUUCUUUCCGCGAUGCCUUCAAAGGCUGAUUACAAAAAUGAGCCUAUAACAGUUGAGAUUUACAAGAACUAGACGCGACGUUAGGAAAUUGGAUACGUGUUCCCUCUCAAUUUGCGGGAAAAGACACGUACAAAGACCUAAUAUUUGAGUGAUUGUGGGUGAUUCUGCGUGGUCAAAUAGUAGACUGCUACGUGUCCCAGUAGGUUCGUCCAAUGUUUUUUUUUUAUUUUUCACGUUUGGCGCCGUUAGUUUUCGAAACAGGACUACACUUGAUGGCUUGGCUUAAGCCGCUCGGCUCUUUGAGCCAUUCAGGAAUACAUUAAUGAACAGAGAAAUUAUUUAUAAUUGCACAUUUAUAUUCAAUUAAAAAAACGAAAAAAAUUAUUAAUUUAUGAUUGAUGUCAUUUUUAGAAAGUAGUCAUACAUAAUUUUUGAACGAAGUUAAAAAUACUAAAAAAAAAAGGUAUAUUAACUUACAAAAUGCCUACCAAACAUCAAGUAAAAUAACAUAAUUUUUGUCCAAUUUUAUAUUUUUACAUAUCAUUUAACACUAACUUAAAAAUAUCAAAUCAACUGUUAAUUCAUUUCUUAGAGAUUGAAUUAUUAUAUUCAAU
Molecule: long non-coding RNA, 3531 nt
Filed under: Citrus x clementina
Lineage: Eukaryota; Viridiplantae; Streptophyta; Magnoliopsida; Sapindales; Rutaceae
Description: Citrus clementina (C. clementina) long non-coding RNA (CCLE_LNC003015)
Source: RNAcentral